GACGAACGCUGGCGGCGUGCUUAACACAUGCAAGUCGAACGGAAAGGCCCUGCUUUUGUGGGGUGCUCGAGUGGCGAACGGGUGAGUAACACGUGAGUAACCUGCCCUUGACUUUGGGAUAACUUCAGGAAACUGGGGCUAAUACCGGAUAGGAGCUCCUGCUGCAUGGUGGGGGUUGGAAAGUUUCGGCGGUUGGGGAUGGACUCGCGGCUUAUCAGCUUGUUGGUGGGGUAGUGGCUUACCAAGGCUUUGACGGGUAGCCGGCCUGAGAGGGUGACCGGCCACAUUGGGACUGGGAUACGGCCCAGACUCCUACGGGAGGCAGCAGUGGGGAAUAUUGCACAAUGGGCGGAAGCCUGAUGCAGCAACGCCGCGUGCGGGAUGACGGCCUUCGGGUUGUAAACCGCUUUCGCCUGUGACGAAGCGUGAGUGACGGUAAUGGGUAAAGAAGCACCGGCUAACUACGCG
RNAcentral lists this ribosomal RNA (468 nucleotides) under uncultured bacterium. Its description in RNAcentral is "partial 16S ribosomal RNA". It matches the Rfam family "Bacterial small subunit ribosomal RNA", at positions 28 to 507 of the family's 1533-position model. The record is from RNAcentral.